Lynx canadensis (Canada lynx) is the source of this 698-nucleotide long non-coding RNA. RefSeq lists it as uncharacterized. Lineage: Eukaryota; Metazoa; Chordata; Mammalia; Carnivora; Felidae. The transcript is spliced from 3 exons. The record is from RefSeq and is a predicted model, not a curated record.
GCGCCGUCCCCUGCUCUUUACUUGAUGAAGAAGACUCGGCCGCCCCUGGUGAUCCCAAGAGAGACUGAGCUGGAGCACAGCUCUAGCCUUGUUGUCCACUCGCGGCCUGUCCUGCUACAACCGUGUGAGGAUCUGAACCUAGGAAACAACACUGUUUAGAGUCGUGUGUGUUACUCUAUUUCCAGCCUCCUGCUUGGAAUGUGGAUGAAGUGGCUGUAGGUCUUUGUUGGAUGAAGAAGGCAAAGGCCACCCAAGGGAUGGCAAAGUGGACAUCUGGAUGUAGCCUAAGUCCCUAAGAGUUACAGGCAGUGGAGCCAACAUAACUGCUCUGAACUUACAAGUGGAGGAGAAAUCAAAUUCUGUCUUGAUUAAGCUAAUGCUAUCUUGUGGGGGAGGGGAGCUUCUGUUACUCUCAGAUAAACCUAAUUUUAUCUAAUGUAUCACAUCUAUCUUAUUUAACAGCACUUAGUACAUGUUGGGUGCUCAAUAAUUUCUUAAAUGAAUGAAUUAAUGUAUGAAUCUCCAAACACAUCAAAAUUUCAUACAUAAAAUUUGCCUCAUGCCUCAGUAACUCCUGAUUAUUCUUUUGGAUGAGACAGCUUUUCUCUCACUUACCUUAUUAUUUACUGAGAAUAAGGUAGACCCUUAUAGAUCUUUAACUCAUUCUGAUAAUUAGACUAUUAAUAUCUUUAAAAUUA